CGCUCGGCGCGAACCCGGGCUGGUUGUGCGGAGUCAGUGGCUGCUCGUCGUGGCCAGGACUUGGUGCUCACGGUGGCCAGGAAAGCAAGUGAACCAAAACGAUUCGGUGUUUCGAGCACAACCGGUUCAGUGAAACAGUGAGUGAACCAGCGAGAUAAACAAAGAAGAGGGAAAGAAAAUUCGCAAUGAAAAGCCUGGUUAGUGUGGAACGUGAGGGAGAUAUAAGGCUCAAAAUCGUGUAAAAGGAAGUGGAGACAAACCCUUAAUAGCGCUAUAAGGAAAGUGUAGAUAAGCCUUAUCAUACAGUGAUAUGGAAAAACCCUCUUGGAGUCUCCUUAAAUUCUAAUAAUAGAGGAAAUAGAGUGGAAAGAAA
RNAcentral lists this long non-coding RNA (373 nucleotides) under Penaeus monodon (black tiger shrimp). Its description in RNAcentral is "uncharacterized LOC119589728". The record is from RNAcentral. Lineage: Eukaryota; Metazoa; Arthropoda; Malacostraca; Decapoda; Penaeidae.